This 197-nucleotide unclassified non-coding RNA is filed under the name soil metagenome. Its description in RNAcentral is "partial contains 5.8S ribosomal RNA, internal transcribed spacer 2, and large subunit ribosomal RNA". The record is from RNAcentral.
AAGACUAUAGACCUGCGGAGUACCUGCGGAAGGAUCAUUACCGAGUUAUCCAACUCCCAACCCCUGUGAAUCAUACCUUUAAUUGUUGCUUCGGCGGGACUUCGCGCCCGCCGGGGACCCAAACCUUCUGAAUUUUUUAAUAAGUAUCUUCUGAGUGGUUAAAAAAAAUGAAUCAAAACUUUUAGCAACGGAUCUCU